Non-coding RNA from Triplophysa rosa, 88 nucleotides. Lineage: Eukaryota; Metazoa; Chordata; Actinopteri; Cypriniformes; Nemacheilidae. The record is from the annotation of a RefSeq genome assembly.
GGAUGGGUGGCCGAGUGGUUGAAGGCACCAGUCUUGAGUACUGGCAAAGAUUCUAAGUCUUUCGUGGGUUCGAAUCCUACCUCAUCCA